AUUGAACGCUGGCGGCAGGCCUAACACAUGCAAGUCGAGCGGAUGAAGGGAGCUUGCUCCUGGAUUCAGCGGCGGACGGGUGAGUAAUGCCUAGGAAUCUGCCUGGUAGUGGGGGAUAACGUCCGGAAACGGGCGCUAAUACCGCAUACGUCCUGAGGGAGAAAGUGGGGGAUCUUCGGACCUCACGCUAUCAGAUGAGCCUAGGUCGGAUUAGCUAGUUGGUGGGGUAAAGGCCUACCAAGGCGACGAUCCGUAACUGGUCUGAGAGGAUGAUCAGUCAAACUGAAACUGAAACACGGUCCAGACUCCAACGGGAGGCAGAGGUGGGGAAUAUUGGACAAUGGGCGAAGCCCUGAUCAAGCAUGCCGCGUGUGUGAAGAAGGUCUUCGGAUUGUAAAGCACUUUAAGUUGGGAGGAAGGGCAGUAAGUUAAUACCUUGCUGUUUUGACGUUACCAACAGAAUAAGCACCGGCUAACUUCGUG
This 483-nucleotide ribosomal RNA is filed under the name uncultured bacterium. Its description in RNAcentral is "partial 16S ribosomal RNA". It matches the Rfam family "Bacterial small subunit ribosomal RNA", at positions 30 to 507 of the family's 1533-position model. The record is from RNAcentral.